ACUAUGCUCACUACCUCCGAGUCAUAAUAAUGCUGUAUGUGAAUCCUCCCUACACAGGGAAUUUACUUACGUUCACAAGUUGGUUCAACAUCAGACCAGUUUCUAUCAGCCAUGCAUGUUCUUGAGACGACACCCAUCAAAAUAUAACCAUUGCUACACGAGUACAUAGCUUCGGAAAGGAAGGUAGUGAUUGAAACAGUGACCAAACCGUUACUAGGCGACGUCAGCUGACCGCAGUCAACAGCUGUGAUAGGAGUGACGUACGAUUGCAGACAGGGUCAGGUGAUCCCUGCAGUGACCAAUCACCAUCAGCCUCACACACUCUCUUCGUUAUCCCGACGAGAUCAUAGCCAUUACUACAGCUGUAAGUUGCCGUGGAGGUGAAUGUUGUUGAGGGGGUGGUCUCUACCUGACCGUUGAUGGGACUGGCCCGGGGACCACAGUCAACAGCUGCAUGUCGUGGAACGGAUUGAGGACAAAACACUGAGAACAUAGCCAGAUGGGCAAGUGUACACUGAGAAUGAGCCGAAGGUGGUGAGGGAGACUGUGACUUGUCCACCAUUGUUUAAGGAGCUAGGUGUUCCACA
This is a long non-coding RNA of Halichondria panicea, 587 nucleotides long. RefSeq lists it as uncharacterized. The record is from RefSeq and is a predicted model, not a curated record. The transcript is spliced from 3 exons. Lineage: Eukaryota; Metazoa; Porifera; Demospongiae; Suberitida; Halichondriidae.